GUCUUGACUCCCCCACGAGGUGGGAGGACAAAGGAAACGGAGGUGCCCCUCCUCCAACCCCGGGAAGUGUUGCCAUCUCCCUAGAGAUGAAAAGGGGGGGUAUGUGGGGGGAUGUUGGGGAGGAGCAGGUGCCUAUGGAAAUCUACUGGAUGUGCACUUAUUUGCACCCCUUGGCUUUGGCAAGUCAGUCGUUCAACGCAUAUUUUUGGAGAGUUUCCUGUGUGCCAGGGACUGUUCUAGGAAUUGGGGGUACAACGGUACGGAGGGUCCCUGUUCUCCCAAAGCGGUGUUUUAGUGGUUACCUGGUUUGGAAAAGACCAUCAUUCAGUUCUGGGUCCAGCUGGCUGACAGUGUUCAGCUGGAGCGGAAGUUGAGGACAACACCAGGUCCUGAGCCAAAUCGAAGGUUCUGAAACCAGGGGAGUUUCUCUCAGAGUGUGCUUAGCUGUGGAAAUGGAAACCAAGGACUGUAGUAGGUUGUUAGAAUAAUGACCCCCCUGCCCAUGAAUCGUGUGUCCAUGCAAUUUGCAGUGUGAUUUUGCUCCUGGAUCUGGGCUGGCCUGGAGACCAGCAGAAUGCCACAGAAGGGACACUGCUCAGCGGUCAUUUUAUUUUUUUAUUUUUUAUUUUUUCAGCGGUCAUUUUAAAAACAUUGUCAGGAAGGGGAGCUUGAACUCUGGAACCAGAUUCCUGGAAGAAUGACUGAAUGCCUCUCCCUGUGACAAUGCCAUCCCUUGCCUGUCUUGGUGAUCCAAAGAUGAGUUGGCUGGGUGGGAUGCCAGCCCAGGGUUCACCCGCAAGGUCAGAGUUGGAGGAUUCUUAUUGGAUAUUGCUCAUGAAAUCAACAAGAUUGGCCGGGGUAAGGGGAGUCUGUGGUCCCAAUGCCAAUGACGGAGUUAGAACUGAGUCAUCCAACCCAAGAAGAUUCAGGGGCCAACUUUGCACCAGAGCACAGUGGUUUGCUGGGAAAUGUUUUACAACCUGCUCUCCAGAGUGGAAAAAACAAAGGCAUGACUUGCAUUGUUUGAUGAUUUCCAUGGGUAAAUCCUUCCUCCACGGAUGAUCUCAACCACCAACUUGUUGCCGACUGACGUGCAAAAUUCUUAAAAAUGUAAAAGCCAUGGGAUGCCUGGGUAGCUCAGUCGGUUGAGCAUCUGCCUUCUGCUCAGGUCAUGAUCCCAGGGUACUGGGAUUGAGUCCCAUGUCAAGCUCCUUGCUCAGUGGGGAGUCUGCUUCUCCCUCUGCCUGCCACUCCCCCUGCUUGUGCUCUUUCUCUCUCUCUCAUUCUGAC
RNAcentral lists this long non-coding RNA (1290 nucleotides) under Zalophus californianus (California sea lion). Its description in RNAcentral is "lncRNA (ENSZCAG00015011082.1)". Lineage: Eukaryota; Metazoa; Chordata; Mammalia; Carnivora; Otariidae. The record is from RNAcentral.